RNAcentral lists this ribosomal RNA (463 nucleotides) under uncultured bacterium. Its description in RNAcentral is "partial 16S ribosomal RNA". It matches the Rfam family "Bacterial small subunit ribosomal RNA", at positions 28 to 507 of the family's 1533-position model. The record is from RNAcentral.
GAUGAACGCUGACAGAAUGCUUAACACAUGCAAGUCGAUGGGGAAGUGGUGCUUGCACCAUGGUAACCAUGGCGGACGGGUGAGUAACGCGUAAGGAACUUGCCUGCGGGACUGGGAUAACAGCAGGAAACUGCUGAUAAUACCGGAUAAGGUCAUUAAGCUGCAUAGCUUAGUGAUGAAAGGAGACGCCUGCGGAGAGCCUUGCGUCCUAUUAGCUAGUUGGAGGGGUAACGGCCCACCAAGGCGAAGAUAGGUAGCCGGCCUGAGAGGGUGGACGGCCACAAGGGGACUGAGAUACGGCCCUUACGCCUACGGGAGGCAGCAGUGGGGAAUAUUGGAGAAUGGGGGCAACCCUGAUCCAGCAAUUCUGUGUGCACGAAGACGGUUUUCGGAUUGUAAAGUGCUUUCAGCAGGGAAGAAGGAAGUGACGGUACCUGCAGAAGAAGCGACGGCUAAAUACGUG